GUGCCCUUCUUUUCUUCACACGAGAAAUAUUUCUGCAUGAAUAUUUCUCACACCCAGAAGAAGAUUGAUGCCCACUUUCUGAUCCCUUUUGGAUUUGGAUAAGGUUGGUUUAAAAUUUGAGUUCAAAAGGUUUGAAUUUGAAUGAGAACUUAGAGUCCAAAUCUUGUUGGACUCUUUCCAUAAUUGCCGACCUCCCUUCCCAUGCGAGAAAAUUUUUUUUGCAUGAUGUUUUUCCAUGCCAAUCUGAUGUUUCUCACCUCUCUUCUGCACAACCUAGGGAUAGGAUAGGAUUGGUUGGGUUUUGAAUUCAAAUAGGUUUGAAUUUAAACUAAACUACCAAGUGUUUAUCCUAUCCUAUCUGAUCUCCAUGCCAGCCUUAAAUCCUCUCCAUUUUUGUGCGACAAAAUGAGAGGCUUUUACCAUGGGGUUCUAGGGUUUCGGCUCUAGUUUUUUUUGUGAGAAGAAAAACCAAGAGAGUCUUGUUUUAUUCUUC
Molecule: long non-coding RNA, 493 nt
Filed under: Elaeis guineensis (African oil palm)
Lineage: Eukaryota; Viridiplantae; Streptophyta; Magnoliopsida; Arecales; Arecaceae
Description: long non-coding RNA (EGUI_LNC037803)
Source: RNAcentral